RNAcentral lists this small nucleolar RNA (84 nucleotides) under Dasypus novemcinctus (nine-banded armadillo). RNAcentral describes it as "Small nucleolar RNA SNORA1 (ENSDNOG00000029048.1)". Lineage: Eukaryota; Metazoa; Chordata; Mammalia; Cingulata; Dasypodidae. The record is from RNAcentral.
UGCUCCAUCCCUAAAUUGAGACACAGGUUAUGCGUCCAUCAUAGUAAAUUUAUUUCAAUAAUGACAAUGAGGCCUGUAACUUUA